This 101-nucleotide small nuclear RNA is filed under the name Amborella trichopoda. The record is from RNAcentral. Lineage: Eukaryota; Viridiplantae; Streptophyta; Magnoliopsida; Amborellales; Amborellaceae.
AUAUUUGUGAGUACAUCCGAUAAAAUUGGAACGAUACAGAGAAGAUUAGCAUGGCCCCUGCGCAAGGAUGACCUAUGCCAAUAGAAACUUACACUGGACAG